This 414-nucleotide ribosomal RNA is filed under the name uncultured bacterium. Its description in RNAcentral is "bacterial SSU rRNA". It matches the Rfam family "Bacterial small subunit ribosomal RNA", at positions 917 to 1333 of the family's 1533-position model. The record is from RNAcentral.
GGGCCCGCACAAGCGGUGGAGUAUGUGGUUUAAUUCGAUGCAACGCGAAGAACCUUACCAGGGUUUGACAUCCUGCGAACCCCUGAGAAAUCGGGGGUGCCUUCGGGAACGCAGUGACAGGUGGUGCAUGGCUGUCGUCAGCUCGUGUCGUGAGAUGUUGGGUUAAGUCCCGCAACGAGCGCAACCCACGUCUUUAGUUGCCAGCAUUCAGUUGGGCACUCUAGAGAGACCGCCGGUGAUAAACCGGAGGAAGGUGUGGAUGACGUCAAGUCAUCAUGCCCCUUACAUCCUGGGCUACACACGUACUACAAUGCUACGGACAAAGGGCAGCAAGUUCGCGAGGACAAGCAAAUCCCAUAAACCGUGGCUCAGUUCAGAUCGUAGGCUGCAACUCGCCUACGUGAAGGAGGAAUC